CAGUCGCCGCGGGAACACGUAGGGUGCGAGCGUUAAUCGGAAUUACUGGGCGUAAAGCGUGCGCAGGCGGUUGUGUAAGACAGGUGUGAAAUCCCCGGGCUUAACCUGGGAACUGCGCUUGUGACUGCACAGCUAGAGUAUGGCAGAGGGGGGUGGAAUUCCACGUGUAGCAGUGAAAUGCGUAGAGAUGUGGAGGAACACCGAUGGCGAAGGCAGCCCCCUGGGCCAAUACUGACGCUCAUGCACGAAAGCGUGGGGAGCAAAUGGGAUUAGAGACCCCAGUAGUCCCUGUCUCUUAUAC
Molecule: ribosomal RNA, 301 nt
Filed under: uncultured bacterium
Lineage: Bacteria
Description: partial 16S ribosomal RNA
Rfam family: Bacterial small subunit ribosomal RNA
Source: RNAcentral